GACGAACGCUGGCGGCGUGCUUAACACAUGCCAGUCGAACGGAAAGGCCCUGCUUUUGUGGGGUGCUCGAGUGGCGAACGGGUGAGUAACACGUGAGUAACCUGCCCUUGACUUUGGGAUAACUUCAGGAAACUGGGGCUAAUACCGGAUAGGAGCUCCUGCUGCAUGGUGGGGGUUGGAAAGUUUCGGCGGUUGGGGAUGGACUCGCGGCUUAUCAGCUUGUUGGUGGGGUAGUGGCUUACCAAGGCUUUGACGGGUAGCCGGCCUGAGAGGGUGACCGGCCACAUUGGGACUGAGAUACGGCCCAGACUCCUACGGGAGGCAGCAGUGGGGAAUAUUGCACAAUGGGCGGAAGCCUGAUGCAGCAACGCCGCGUGCGGGAUGAAGGCCUUCGGGUUGUAAACCGCUUUCGCCUGUGACGAAGCGUGAGUGACGGUAAUGGGUAAAGAAGCACCGGCUAACUACGU
Molecule: ribosomal RNA, 467 nt
Filed under: uncultured bacterium
Lineage: Bacteria
Description: partial 16S ribosomal RNA
Rfam family: Bacterial small subunit ribosomal RNA
Source: RNAcentral